RNAcentral lists this long non-coding RNA (879 nucleotides) under Phasianus colchicus (ring-necked pheasant). RNAcentral describes it as "lncRNA (ENSPCLG00000015846.1)". The record is from RNAcentral. Lineage: Eukaryota; Metazoa; Chordata; Aves; Galliformes; Phasianidae.
UUACAGUGCCUCAGAAAAGUAAUGAUGUCACUUAGCAUUGUUCUGUGUCAGAGUUUUCCUUGCCCUGGAUUAUUACUGAGUGCAGCUCUUGGGUUUCUUUGUUUCUUUUGAUGUGUUGUUGGUGGGCACAGAUGACAGCGUGGAAAACAUUGCUGAAAAUCCUGGACAUGGCAGUGUAAUUCCACUGGUCAAAUGUAUUUAACUUCCUGGAAGGGUUGUGGGAAUGAUAAGAGAAUGUGGAUUUCUCGAGGCACAGCAAGACUGUACCAACAAUCUCUUCCUUUUACUUUAGACGCAAGGUGUGUGUGAGGUCUAUGUAAAUCACCUUCCCCUCAAUGCAAAGACAGAAACAAAAAGCAACAGAGAUGCAACCAUCUGCUGCUGAGGACACUGAUGAGCCCCUAGCUAGAAAACUACCUAUGGUGAUUCUUGCUUCAGUCUCUCCUGAAUACACCCUGGUCAGCAUUGAAGUCCUAAAACUUCCAAGCAGGUCUGGAACUGCUUCUGGGAAACCAGGCAGACUCCAUGGCACAGUGGGAGGUCUCAAACACAACAUCUCAUGCCGCACAAGAAACAAAUAAGGCGCUGCACCUGAGCUGCACAGAGGCCAGGAAAGAACUCUUCUCAGAAGAUGAUGACAUUGAGAAGUUGUUGCUGGAAAUGGCAGAAGAAGAACUGGAAGGAAAAAUUAAUGAGGAUGCUGUGGAUGCACACAAACAAGUUCCUUCUGGAACUAAGACCACUGACAGUGUAACACCAUAGUCAGACUGUACAUUUUAAAACAAACAACAACAACAAAAAACAAUUAAAACCAACCUAUUCCUUUUCAACCCUGUUCCUUUUCUUUCUUAUUUUGAGGGGACACUUUUUCUGAAACUU